AUUGAACGCUGGCGGAAUGCUUUACACAUGCAAGUCGAGCGGCAGCGCGGGGCAACCUGGCGGCGAGCGGCGAACGGGUGAGUAAUACAUCGGAACGUGCCCAGACGUGGGGGAUAACUACUCGAAAGAGUGGCUAAUACCGCAUACGAUCUAAGGAUGAAAGCGGGGGAUCGCAAGACCUCGCGCGUUUGGAGCGGCCGAUGGCAGAUUAGGUAGUUGGUGGGGUAAAGGCUUACCAAGCCCGCGAUCUGUAGCUGGUCUGAGAGGAUGAUCAGCCACACUGGGACUGAGACACGGCCCAGACUCCUACGGGAGGCAGCAGUGGGGAAUUUUGGACAAUGGGCGAAAGCCUGAUCCAGCCAUUCCGCGUGCAGGAUGAAGGCCCUCGGGUUGUAAACUGCUUUUGUACAGAACGAAAAAAGCUCUUUCUAAUACAGAGAGUCCAUGACGGUACUGUAAGAAUAAGCACCGGCUAACUACGUG
Molecule: ribosomal RNA, 483 nt
Filed under: uncultured bacterium
Lineage: Bacteria
Description: bacterial SSU rRNA
Rfam family: Bacterial small subunit ribosomal RNA
Source: RNAcentral